AUGAUUCACCACCGCAGUGUUCACAGCUGGGGAAGCAUUUGUCCCAUUCCUGGUGUAAUUGGUGUGGGCGAGGCUGGGGUCCAAGUGUUGCAGCUGCCUGGAGUUGACUGCCUUGCCUACUUAGCAGUGGCUGUUUUCCAUGGAUAUUUGCAGAAGGUCUGUUCCUUUUUGGAAGAUGGUCUGUACGGAAUGACCAGACACAAGAUUCUCAAAGUUCACCUCAACCUAUGUUUACUGAACAUCUACUGCACCAAAAGCUCCGUAUUGGUGUCACACACGGAUACACAGAUGAGGGAAACAUUGUUCCUGCCCUUAAGAAAUUCAUCACCUUGAUGGGAGGAGACAGAUAUGCACAUAUGUAUCGCCAGUUUGAGGUAGUUUCUUUCUUUUUUUUUUUUUUUAAGACAUUGUCUUUCUCUGUCACCCAGGCUGGAGUGCAGUGGCGCAAUUUUGGCUCACCACAACCUUUGUCUCCUGGAUUCAGGUGAUUCUCGUGCCUCAGCCUCCAAAGUAGCUGGGAUUACAGGCGGGUAGCACCUUGCCUGGCUGAUUUUUGUAUUUUUAGCAGAGACAGGGUUUCACCAUGUUGGCCAGGCUGAUCUCAAACUCCUGA
RNAcentral lists this long non-coding RNA (613 nucleotides) under Callithrix jacchus (white-tufted-ear marmoset). Its description in RNAcentral is "lncRNA (ENSCJAG00000075173.1)". Lineage: Eukaryota; Metazoa; Chordata; Mammalia; Primates; Cebidae. The record is from RNAcentral.